Molecule: non-coding RNA, 892 nt
Organism: Arachis ipaensis
Lineage: Eukaryota; Viridiplantae; Streptophyta; Magnoliopsida; Fabales; Fabaceae
Source: RefSeq, a predicted model, not a curated record
GGAACUAAUGAUAGAGGGAGAGAGAGCUUCGCGGAGGUGGUGGAUCUCGCACAGAGCCAAGGAGAACCGGCGGCGAUGUGGUUGGAGGUUAGGUUCUGGGCUCGGCGGAGGUGAGGCGCGUGGAAGAAGAAGAAAGAGAGAGAUGUGGUGGCUCUGUGUCGGUUGUGGGUACAGACGCCGGCUGCGGUGGUGAUGAUUGGAGGCUGAGGCGAGGCUAGGGUUCGGACAAGAGGGGAAGAAGACGGAGGCUGGACGCGAGCUGGAGGUGAUAUCGCGAAGAGGAGGGUCACGGUGGCUCGGCUAGUAAGAGCGAGGGAGGAGAAGGUGGCCGCCGCUGGUUGGUUGGUUUGGGCCUGCGCCUGGGCCUGGUUAUGAUCUGUUUUUUCUGCAUAUGAUGUUUCCGUGGCUUCGUGUUUGUGGAGGCUGAAAUUGAAGGACCUGACUCGUUCCAAAAGCGAGGAUGUUCGAACGAGUUGAGGCUGAGUGAACUCGCCGGUUCGGCAGUACUCGGCUUUGUGUCGUAAGUGUAUUGAUGAGUGAGUUUGAAGGAUCUGACUCGUUGCAGGAGGGAGGGUGAGCGAGUGAAAGGGUGUUGGAGUUCAUGUUCUUGAAUUCGGUUGUUGUGGGAGGAGGUGAAGCGGGAGGUGAUGGCAAUGGUGCCAAUGACGAGGUUGACAAAGAUGAAGAGGGAAGAAGGUGUUAACCAGCUGGCUAUGAGAAGCGUCAUUGAAGCUGUUGGUUCUGCCAUAGAGAGCUUGUUAGGGCAAAGAGUUUUGAUUUGGGGCAAAAUGAAAUCAAUUUCCACCUAGGCUAACAAAUUAAUUAAUUAAAAAUUACAACUCAAUUAAAAUAUGAUUUGUCAGCAUAAUCCGGUGUCCAGGUAAGUAUUGUC